This 67-nucleotide transfer RNA is filed under the name Marmota monax (woodchuck). RNAcentral describes it as "tRNA.Ala". Lineage: Eukaryota; Metazoa; Chordata; Mammalia; Rodentia; Sciuridae. The record is from RNAcentral.
GGUUGUGGCUCAGUGGCAGAGCACUUCCCUAGCAUGUGUGAGGCACUGGGUUCGAUUCUCAGGACCA